Molecule: ribosomal RNA, 443 nt
Filed under: uncultured bacterium
Lineage: Bacteria
Description: partial 16S ribosomal RNA
Rfam family: Bacterial small subunit ribosomal RNA
Source: RNAcentral
CCUACGGGAGGCAGCAGUGAGGAAUAUUGGGCAAUGGACGAAACUCUGAACCAGCAAAGUCGCGUGAAUGAUGAAGGUCCUCUGAGUUUAAAGUUCUUUUUUAAUGGGAGUAGAAAGUGCCGCUACUUUAGUUAUAAGCCUCCCCUAACUACGUGCCAGUAGUCACGCUAAUACGUAGGCGGCGAGCGUUAUCCGGAUUGACUGGGCGUAAUGGGUGCGUAGGUGGUGUGGCAAGUUAGUAGCGUAACUCCAAGGCUCAACCUUGUAAUUGCUGCUAAAACUGGUGGACUUGAGUGCAGGAGAGGCAAGCGGAAUUCCUGGUGUAGCGGUGAAAUGCGUAGAUAUUAGGAGGAACACCGGUGGCGAAGGCAGGUUACUGGACUGAAACUGACACUGAGGCACGAAAGCGUGGGUAGCAAACAGGAUUAGAUACCCGAGUAGUC